AGCGAACGCUGGCGGCAGGCUUAGCACAUGCCAGUCGAGCGGGCAUAGCAAUAUGUCAGCGGCAGACGGGUGAGUAACGCGUGGGAACGUACCUUUUGGUUCGGAACAACUGAGGGAAACUUCAGCUAAUACCGGAUAAGCCCUUACGGGGAAAGAUUUAUCGCCGAAAGAUCGGCCCGCGUCUGAUUAGCUAGUUGGUGAGGUAAUGGCUCACCAAGGCGACGAUCAGUAGCUGGUCUGAGAGGAUGAUCAGCCACAUUGGGACUGAGACACGGCCCAAACUCCUACGGGAGGCAGCAGUGGGGAAUAUUGGACAAUGGGCGCAAGCCUGAUCCAGCCAUGCCGCGUGAGUGAUGAAGGCCCUAGGGUUGUAAAGCUCUUUUGUGCGGGAAGAUAAUGACGGUACCGCAAGAAUAAGCCCCGGCUAACUUCGUG
Molecule: ribosomal RNA, 435 nt
Filed under: uncultured bacterium
Lineage: Bacteria
Description: partial 16S ribosomal RNA
Rfam family: Bacterial small subunit ribosomal RNA
Source: RNAcentral